GAUGAACGCUGACAGAAUGCUUAACACAUGCAAGUCAACUUGAAUUUGGGUUUUUAACUUAGAUUUGGGUGGCGGACGGGUGAGUAACGCGUGGGUAACCUGCCCUAUACACAUGGAUAACAUACUGAAAAGUUUACUAAUACAUGAUAAUAUAUAUUUGUGGCAUCACAGAUAUAUCAAAGUGUUAGCGGUAUAGGAUGGACCCGCGUCUGAUUAGCUAGUUGGUGAGAUAACUGCCCACCAAGGCGACGAUCAGUAGCCGACCUGAGAGGGUGAUCGGCCACAUUGGAACUGAGACACGGUCCAAACUCCUACGGGAGGCAGCAGUGGGGAAUAUUGCACAAUGGGCGAAAGCCUGAUGCAGCAACGCCGCGUGAACGAUGAAGGUCUUCGGAUCGUAAAGUUCUGUUGCAGGGGAAGAUAAUGACGGUACCCUGUGAGGAAGCCCCGGCUAACUACGUGCCAGCAGCCGCGGUAAUACGUAGGGGGCUAGCGUUAUCCGGAUUUACUGGGCGUAAAGGGUGCGUAGGUGGUCCUUCAAGUCGGUGGUUAAAGGCUACGGCUCAACCGUAGUAAGCCGCCGAAACUGGAGGACUUGAGUGCAGGAGAGGAAAGUGGAAUUCCCAGUGUAGCGGUGAAAUGCGUAGAUAUUGGGAGGAACACCAGUAGCGAAGGCGGCUUUCUGGACUGCAACUGACACUGAGGCACGAAAGCGUGGGUAGCAAACAGG
RNAcentral lists this ribosomal RNA (730 nucleotides) under uncultured Peptostreptococcus sp. Its description in RNAcentral is "bacterial SSU rRNA". It matches the Rfam family "Bacterial small subunit ribosomal RNA", at positions 28 to 776 of the family's 1533-position model. Lineage: Bacteria; Bacillati; Bacillota; Clostridia; Peptostreptococcales; Peptostreptococcaceae. The record is from RNAcentral.